RNAcentral lists this long non-coding RNA (296 nucleotides) under Vigna radiata. RNAcentral's name for it is "long non-coding RNA (VRAD_LNC014188)". The record is from RNAcentral. Lineage: Eukaryota; Viridiplantae; Streptophyta; Magnoliopsida; Fabales; Fabaceae.
AAAGAAUUCGCACAAUGAAACAGUAACAAUGACAGCACGAAGUAGAACGUAAAAGAGGAUGAAGAGGUUGCGUGCCGCUGCAUGCGCGUAGAGGAUUGGAUUGGGAAGAAAUGAUAAAAUAUUAACCCUAAAAGUAAAAUUUUGCUCAAUGAUAAAAUAGGAAUAAAGAGAUGGAGUGAGGGGUAAAAGAAGAAGGGGGAGGUGGAGGGAGCAACACCCCAACGAAAAUGGGAUAUUCGUUGGGCCUUCAAUGGAUACCCAUACCCCUUAAUAGAUAUGAACAUAACGGAUCCCCC